CCUACGGGUGGCAGCAGUGAGGAAUAGUGGGCAAUGGACGCAAGUCUGAACCAGCCAAGCCGCGUGCAGGAAGACGGCGCUAGGAGGUGUAAACUGCAUUUGUACGAGGGGAAACGCAGAUACGCGGACCUGUCUGAACGUAUCGUACGAAUAAGGAUCGGCUAACUCCGUGCCAGCAGCCGCGGUAAUACGGAGGAUUCAAGCGUUAUCCGGAUUUAUUGGGUUUAAAGGGGGCGUAGGCGGUCGCUUAAGUUAGAGGUGAAAUCCCGAGGCUCAACUUCGGAAUUGCCUCUGAUACUGUUCGGCUAGAGAGUAGUUGCGGUAGGCGGAAUGUGUGGUGUAGCGGUGAAAUGCUUAGAUAUCAUGCAGAACCCCGAUUGCGUAGGCAGCUUACCAAGCUACAUCUGACGUUGAGGCACGAAAGCGUGGGGAGCAAACAGGAUUAGAUACCCUGGUAGUC
This 460-nucleotide ribosomal RNA is filed under the name uncultured bacterium. RNAcentral describes it as "partial 16S ribosomal RNA". It matches the Rfam family "Bacterial small subunit ribosomal RNA", at positions 338 to 795 of the family's 1533-position model. The record is from RNAcentral.